Molecule: long non-coding RNA, 574 nt
Filed under: Brassica rapa (field mustard)
Lineage: Eukaryota; Viridiplantae; Streptophyta; Magnoliopsida; Brassicales; Brassicaceae
Description: long non-coding RNA (BRAP_LNC005462)
Source: RNAcentral
CCACAGUCACCUUGAGGUUAUCGAGCAACAGAGCAAAUCUCCUUGACCUAACACCAAGACCCUUGUCCUUGAGGUCAAGCUCGAGUCCAAGAAGCUGUGUGUAUUCUCCUGAACCAUCAGCCACAAACUUCACGUGCUUGUUCUCAGGGUAUGUCUUUCCCCAUGCCUUCAUCACAAACGGAUCGUUCACUACAACAAAACAAUUUCAUUAAUAAUAUUAAACCAAACAGCUAAUAUAUAUAUAUAUAUAUAACAAUCUAAUAUUUGUUUAAAAGAAAGAAUCAAAUUGCAUGGAAUCAAAUCACAACGAAGAAUAUUUACCGCUGAAGCAAAUGAUCUCAUCAACACCCUUCGAUUUCAGCUCCUCUGCUUUCUCAAUGAAUCCAGGCACAUGCUGCAUGCUAAAACAAGAGAAAAAACAAAUAAAAAAUAUCAAAUCUAAUGUAUUACGGCAGAAAAGUGAAAUAAAACUAAAUGAAAAAGUUUACCUGCAUGUGGGAGUGAAAGCACCAGGGACACCGAAGAGAAUGACCUUCUUACCAGCGGCGAGAGUGUGAACGGAGGCGCUCUGAAG